AGAGCGAACGCUGGCGGCAGGCCUAACACAUGCAAGUCGAGCGCCCGUAGCAAUACGGGAGCGGCAGACGGGAUAGUAACACGUGGGAACGCGCCCUUCGGUUCGGAAUAACUCAGGGAAACUUGAGCUAAUACCGGAUACGCCCUUACGGGGAAAGAUUUAUUGCCGAAGGAACGGCCCGCGUCCGAUUAGCUAGUUGGUGAGGUAAUGGCUCACCAAGGCGACGAUCGGUAGCUGGUCUGAGAGGAUGACCAGCAUCACUGGGACUGAGACACGGCCCAGACUCCUACGGGAGGCAGCAGUGGGGAAUAUUGGACAAUGGGCGCAAGCCUGAUCCAGCCAUGCCGCGUGGAUGAUGAAGGCCUUAGGGUUGUAAAGUCCUUUAACGGGGAAGAUAAUGACGGUACCGUAGAAUAAGCCCGGCUAACUUCGUGCCAGCAGCCGC
Molecule: ribosomal RNA, 445 nt
Filed under: uncultured bacterium
Lineage: Bacteria
Description: SSU rRNA
Rfam family: Bacterial small subunit ribosomal RNA
Source: RNAcentral